UGCCAGCAGCCGCGGUAAUACGGAGGAUGCAAGCGUUAUCCGGAUUCAUUGGGUUUAAAGGGUGCGCAGGCGGAUUGGUAAGUCAGGGGUGAAAUCCCACAGCUCAACUGUGGAACUGCCUUUGUUACUGUCAGUCUAGAGUAUAGUUGAAGUGGGCGGAAUGUGUCAUGUAGCGGUGAAAUGCUUAGAUAUGACACAGAACACCGAUCGCGAAGGCAGCUCGCUAAGCUAUAACUGACGCUCAUGCACGAAAGCGUGGGGAUCAAACAGGAUUAGAUACCCUGGUAGUCCACGCCGUAAACGAUGAUUACUCGAUGUUGGCGAUACACAGUCAGCGUCUGAGCGAAAGCAAUAAGUAAUCCACCUGGGGAGUACGAUCGCAAGAUUGAAACUCAAAGGAAUUGACGGGGGCCCGCACAAGCGGAGGAGCAUGUGGUUUAAUUCGAUGAUACGCGAGGAACCUUACCUGGGCUCGAACGUAAGAUGACUGUAUGUGAAAGCAUACAUCCCUUCGGGGCAUUUUACGAGGUGCUGCAUGGUUGUCGUCAGCUCGUGCCGUGAGGUGUCGGGUUAAGUCCCAUAACGAGCGCAACCCCUAUCUUUAGUUGCCAACAGGUAAUGCUGGGGACUCUAAAGAAACUGGCUACGCAAGUAGUGAGGAAGGCGGGG
RNAcentral lists this ribosomal RNA (669 nucleotides) under uncultured bacterium. RNAcentral's name for it is "bacterial SSU rRNA". It matches the Rfam family "Bacterial small subunit ribosomal RNA", at positions 506 to 1178 of the family's 1533-position model. The record is from RNAcentral.